UGGGGAAUAUUGCACAAUGGGCGAAAGCCUGAUGCAGCGACGCUGCGUGAGGGAUGACGGCCUUCGGGUUGUAAACCUCUUUCAGUAGGGACGAAGCGCAAGUGACGGUACCUGCCGAAGAAGCACCGGCUAACUACGUGCCAGCAGCCGCGGUAAUACGUAGGGUGCGAGCGUUGUCCGGAAUUACUGGGCGUAAAGAGCUCGUAGGCGGUUUGUCACGUCGUCUGUGAAAUCCUAGGGCUUAACCCUGGACGUGCAGGCGAUACGGGCUGACUUGAGUACUACAGGGGAGACUGGAAUUUCUGGUGUAGCGGUGGAAUGCACAGAUAUCAGGAAGAACACCGAUGGCGAAGGCAGGUCUCUGGGUAGUAACUGACGCUGAGGAGCGAAAGCAUGGGGAGCGAACAGG
RNAcentral lists this ribosomal RNA (409 nucleotides) under bacterium. RNAcentral describes it as "partial 16S ribosomal RNA". It matches the Rfam family "Bacterial small subunit ribosomal RNA", at positions 355 to 776 of the family's 1533-position model. The record is from RNAcentral.